GACGAACGCUGGCGGCGUGCCUAAUACAUGCAAGUAGAACGCACAGGAUGCACCGUAGUUUACUACACCGUAUUCUGUGAGUUGCGAACGGGUGAGUAACGCGUAGGUAACCUGCCUGGUAGCGGGGGAUAACUAUUGGAAACGAUAGCUAAUACCGCAUAAGAACAUUUACUGCAUGGUAGAUGUUUAAAAGGUGCAAAUGCAUCACUACCAGAUGGACCUGCGUUGUAUUAGCUAGUAGGUGAGGUAACGGCUCACCUAGGCGACGAUACAUAGCCGACCUGAGAGGGUGAUCGGCCACACUGGGACUGAGACACGGCCCAGACUCCUACGGGAGGCAGCAGUAGGGGAAUCUUUCGGCAAAUGGGGGGGAAACCCCUGACCCGAGCAAACGCCCGCGUGAAGUGAAAGAAAGGUUUUUCGGAUUCGUAAAAGCU
RNAcentral lists this ribosomal RNA (437 nucleotides) under Streptococcus intermedius. RNAcentral's name for it is "bacterial SSU rRNA". It matches the Rfam family "Bacterial small subunit ribosomal RNA", at positions 28 to 431 of the family's 1533-position model. Lineage: Bacteria; Bacillati; Bacillota; Bacilli; Lactobacillales; Streptococcaceae. The record is from RNAcentral.